This 435-nucleotide ribosomal RNA is filed under the name Pseudomonas sp. R-26423. Its description in RNAcentral is "bacterial SSU rRNA". It matches the Rfam family "Bacterial small subunit ribosomal RNA", at positions 30 to 465 of the family's 1533-position model. The record is from RNAcentral. Lineage: Bacteria; Pseudomonadati; Pseudomonadota; Gammaproteobacteria; Pseudomonadales; Pseudomonadaceae.
AUUGAACGCUGGCGGCAGGCCUAACACAUGCAAGUCGAGCGGAUGACAGGAGCUUGCUCCUGAAUUCAGCGGCGGACGGGUGAGUAAUGCCUAGGAAUCUGCCUGGUAGUGGGGGACAACGUUUCGAAAGGAACGCUAAUACCGCAUACGUCCUACGGGAGAAAGCAGGGGACCUUCGGGCCUUGCGCUAUCAGAUGAGCCUAGGUCGGAUUAGCUAGUUGGUGAGGUAAUGGCUCACCAAGGCGACGAUCCGUAACUGGUCUGAGAGGAUGAUCAGUCACACUGGAACUGAGACACGGUCCAGACUCCUACGGGAGGCAGCAGUGGGGAAUAUUGGACAAUGGGCGAAAGCCUGAUCCAGCCAUGCCGCGUGUGUGAAGAAGGUCUUCGGAUUGUAAAGCACUUUAAGUUGGGAGGAAGGGUUGUAGAUUAAUA